AGGGUCUAACAUGAUGAUCCU
This 21-nucleotide non-coding RNA is filed under the name Arabidopsis thaliana (thale cress). The record is from RNAcentral. Lineage: Eukaryota; Viridiplantae; Streptophyta; Magnoliopsida; Brassicales; Brassicaceae.